Molecule: long non-coding RNA, 4388 nt
Organism: Calypte anna (Anna's hummingbird)
Lineage: Eukaryota; Metazoa; Chordata; Aves; Apodiformes; Trochilidae
Exons: 3
Source: RefSeq, a predicted model, not a curated record
CUUGUAGGUGUGGACGGGCCGGUUGCUGAGGACAUUUUUGAAAUCGGCCAGAGUGACUUUUUCCGGCGGGACGGGCAGCUUCACCAGGUGCGAGAUCCAUUCUCUCCAAUGUCUGUCUGUGCCAGAGGGGCAGAGCACUGACUGGGGCUGCACCACUGUAGAGCUGAGGCUGGAAGACUGCUGUGUUUCAGAGAAAGAGGACAUACACUCCUCAGAACAUUCAGCUGCUCACAGCUCAGAGACUGAGUUACCUGGGACACCAGAAUGAUUUUUCUCCCAGCACAAAACAGAGGAGCCAAUUGUGUCAAAGGAUGCCAAAAGGUUAAAAUUAAUGCCAUUUAUUCUUUUUGGUUUACUGGAGGUUUAAUCAUUGCCAGCUCCCAGAUCCCACCAGCUGCAAUCCUGCAUCCAGAGCCAAACUCUCCCAUGCAGAGCCAGAUCUGGGCACCUCUCUACCAAUGGUAUGGUUAAUCCACAGCUCAACAAGACUUACAAGUAUUGAGAAACCCAAACAUCAUCAACUAUCUGCUGUCAUUUCCAGUACAGGGAACCAAUUGCAAAAUCAUGUUCACUGGGGUGCUUCAACUCCAGUGUUUUGCUCACCUGCUGACAUUCACACCCCUCAUCACUGCUGAACUUGACUGCUCUGUCAUCAUCAAACCAGAUAAAGAUAAGCAGAGGCAUGGCCUUGGUCUUCACCACGUAACUAGUGAUUCAGUACUGCUCUAAGUCAGGGAUGACCAACAGACUACACUUCAAAGAGCAGUUUCCAAGAGUGGUAACCACUGAUGGUUGGUGUCACUGCUCAGUUUUGGAAGUCUGAUCCAGCAGGGCACAAAGUACUGAAGAUUUCUGGAAAGUUCUGCACGUGUGCACAGGCACAUGGUACAGUUCUGCAAGCAUCCAAGAAUACUCUUGGUAUGGGAAGCAUGCCAUGAAUCCAUCAACCCUACCACACACAAGAACCUUGGGGUCAGACUGGGGAAGGCUGCCUUUGUCAGGACUGUAAGGUAACUGGAGUACAAGAUGUAUUUCCCAAAAUGCUGAGUUUUAUGUAGUUGUUGCAGUAUGAAACCCAGGGAAAACAUUAUCAUCCAACCCUUUGGUCUCUUCAGGCCAUACUUAAUGACCUUCUGAAUUCUUCAACAGCCCAGGUGGUAUCCACACAAAGACUAAAUCUACAAAGAGCUCUGUUCUCCCUUUGCUUUCACUUUUGACAACUGAAAAUUUAAUGAGUUGUAUAGUUGUCAGAUGGCUGCCUUGGAAUGGACAUGAUAAGACUGGAUCUGUGACUCACAAAAAAAAAAAAAAUCCUCUGUCCCCAUAAAGCACAGAAGAGAAGAGAUAACCCACUUUCAUGUUGCUGUCAAAUCACAAGCUAAUUCAAUUAAAAAGCAAACACAGGAAUGCAGAACACACCACUUUAGCAAGCCUCUGCUCCACCAGGGCUGAUAUCUUGCCUCUUGCAGAGUUCAGGCCUUAACACUCCAGUGAAAAAUAAAUAGAAGGCAUCAAAUCUCUUCCUAUUAGUGCUGUGCUCUCCGUGAUAGAGCAAAUAGUCCUGCUGACCCCUGCAGGGAGCAGAUAGUGUCCUGAGGCAUAAAAGCUGCUCACCCUUUUCUUCAUUUAUAUAGCAGUGCACUUCAUUACAACAUAGAGAAUAAGCAAGCCAUUUUAAACAGCCAUCUGUGAAUUACAGUCAUGGCUGUUGCUUGUCUCAGUGAAUUCAGAAAGCUCCUCACACUCUGGGUGCUGAGCAAAUUAGUCUUUGUUUAAAGAGAUUUGAUGACAAAAGGAAAACCAAAGCUCUGAGCACACCAACACUCACCAGAGCUGUGGCUUGGGACCCACUCUGAGGUUUCAGGGGUAUUUUUAAUCCACCUGCACAAAUGUAUUUGUAAAAGAACAAAAUCACCUUUUACUGGGAGGAUUAUUUCAUUGCAAGAGUCAGCCACUCAUGUCAACAAAACCAUGGUUGCCUCUGAGUAUCUUCAUGUGGAUUGUCAACCCUGGGACAGGAAGAUGUCUGUUUUAGUUCCACACAGCAGGAUCCAUGUGGCUGGCACCCCUGCAACCUUCCCAUCAUUUACAGCUACCUAUGCCACCUGUAGGACUGAGGGUCCCUACAAAGAACUCAUUAGCACAGAUGUUUUCAAAACUGAAGUGAGAACACCAGGGAAGCUUCCUUAGGGACUGGAAUCACAGUAAUGACCUAGAGACACAAAAUCUGAGUUGCCAAAGUACUGAGCCCCAUCAGUGGGGGAAGAAAAUCACUGCUUAAAAUUCAGAUGCUGUAGGGUGGUCGGGAUACAUCGUCAGGAUGCAAACCAAGGCAGUUUGCACUACUCGUGGUCUAAAAGAUCUGUAGGGUUGGUUUGGUUUGGGUUUUUUUUUCCUUUUAUUCUCCCUCUCUGUGCAGCAGACCUUGGGCACGGUCAGGCUGUGGCAGAAGAAGAAAAUAAAGACAUCAAACACUAGAGGGAGGCAGAAGACUUUCAGUCCAGCAACCUGGUCCCAGCCCCUGGGGCAGCACUCCCCAGGGCUUUCACUGCCACUGGAUUCAAAUACAAAGCAACAGAGUAUUUUCAGUGGCAUUUCCAGCACCCCACUUGUUACUGAACCACGUACACAGCUAUGACAACUCAACACUUCCACACUUGUUCUGGAGUCAUCUUAGUGCCAGUGACAGAGAACCAGUCUCUGUUGCACAUGUACACUUUUGGCAUGUUCAAACGUUUUCAUGGGAUGUACACCUCAUCAAUGAGUUCAGUGGGUUGGUCCAAGCUCCUACUCAUCAUAACUCAUUCUAUUUUCUUUCUCCUAGGCCAUUUUCUGGUUUCCCUGUCUCUUCUUAGCACCUACAGCACCUUCUUUAACGGGAAGAGCCACACUUCCCUGCAGCAAUUGUGUUGAGAGCAGCUGAUCUGCAGAGGGCCAUACAGAUGUUUAGAUACUUGACCUCUAGUGGAGUUUUUGUGCUUAGGAAUACCUGUUUGGAUCUUUCUUCUUCUUCUCUCAGGUCCCCAGUGUUUUUUCUUCUCUUGAGAAAUUUGCUGAUGACCAGCCAGCCCCCCUCCACCGGUAGCACUCUCCCCAGACUGGGAGGCAGAAAGGCAAGGGGGACAAUCUGGACUUCAUUUCAGUCAAGCUGAAGACAAUGAAAAUAUUUAAUUUCAGGGGUCUGCAAAGCAGGCCCUGUGGUUAAUAAAUUAGUUUUUCCUUGUUUCCAGCUGCUUCCCUGGAAAAUUAGACCCAUUGUCUACAGAGAAAAGAAACAAGAUGCCCCAACAACAAAUCACCACCAGUGGAGUUGUUGGCUGAAGCCUGCCAGCAGAGACCCAGUGUGCUGGCAGAAAGGAACAGGUUCAAAGCAUUAAUGACCCAGCUCUUGCCAAGGCUGUGCACUAAGACAUCACUCUUGAAGAUAACUGCAGAAAUAAAGCUGCCUUUUUGCAGGCUCUCCCAUGAAAAAGGGUUCAAGAGGGAAGCAGACCAUUUGUAGAUGCACAGUGUCAGGCAAGCCAAUAUUCCCCCAACAAAGAACAAAUGUAGAAAUCCAAUGUGUGGCACAUCAGACCAGCAAAAUGGUGGCAUCCUUGGCUUCCAGCAGCAACACUAUUUGAAGACUUUUUUUUUUUAAUGGCCUGGUGUGUCUGGGACAUUUAACAAGAAAAAGAAGAGUUAAGCUUAAAUCUUAGAAUAUGCUGUUGAGUCAGAUGUUGAGGUUUAUUCAGAGUAAAUCUUAGUUUGCUAAAUGUAAUUUUUUUAACACCUCUAGUGUCAUACCCUGCUGCUUUGAUCCUGCAACUUCUUGCACCUGCACUGUGCACCCAAGCAGCAAUACAAGCUGGUGCCAUCAGUGUCCCUGGGAGAACUCUGUCACGCCAGCUGGGAUCCUGUUCAGUGGGACAGGAGCCCUCUAAGAGGGAACUGUGCAGAAAGAACUUUGCAAGGUGUUAGUUCUGCAAGGAAAAGAGGAACUUGGGCUGGGAGCAAAAUAUAUCCUGUGCAGUUAACUAUUCCAGCAGGAUGUGUUAUCUUCCCUUCUGGACCUGCAGAGUUAUGUCCUAGGAAGGAGCUGCCAGCCUACAGCUCUGCUAGAUGGUCUGAACUCCCUCUGCAGCCACAGAUCUGUUCAUUAUCCAACACUUCUGGAGAGCUAAAAUUUGACUUUGGGCCCCAUGACCAAGUUAAAUGAUGAUGUCCUAUGUGGAAACAAUACUGCAAGUCUGGAAUAACUUAGAGCAUCCAGUCUGCACUUUGUCAAGCACUUUAGGAUGCUCUGAGAUGGAACACUGCUUAGCUCUUGGGAAGAAUUAGCUAAUGCUGGCUAAUAGCUUAGAUAUCAUCUCCAAAGAGCAAGAAAUAAAAUCAACCUUAACUUGAAA